GACGAACGCUGGCGGCGUGCUUAACACAUGCAAGUCGAACGGAGAGGCCCUGCUUUUGUGGGGUGCUCGAGUGGCGAACGGGUGAGUAACACGUGAGUAACCUGCCCUUGACUUUGGGAUAACUUCAGGAAACUGGGGCUAAUACCGGAUAGGAGCUCCUGCUGCAUGGUGGGGGUUGGAAAGUUUCGGCGGUUGGGGAUGGACUCGCGGCUUAUCAGCUUGUUGGUGGGGUAGUGGCUUACCAAGGCUUUGACGGGUAGCCGGCCUGAGAGGGUGACCGGCCACAUUGGGACUGAGAUACGGCCCAGACUCCUACGGGAGGCAGCAGUGGGGAAUAUUGCACAAUGGGCGGAAGCCUGAUGCAGCAACGCCGCGUGCGGGAUGACGGCCUUCGGGUUGUAAACCGCUUUCGCCUGUGACGAAGCGUGAGUGACGGUAAUGUGUAAAGAAGCACCGGCUAACUACGUG
RNAcentral lists this ribosomal RNA (468 nucleotides) under uncultured bacterium. RNAcentral describes it as "partial 16S ribosomal RNA". It matches the Rfam family "Bacterial small subunit ribosomal RNA", at positions 28 to 507 of the family's 1533-position model. The record is from RNAcentral.